GAUGAAUGCUAGCGAAGUGCUUAACACAUGCAAGUCGAACGAAUUUAAUUUAAUAGCAAUAUUGAGUUAAAUUAGUGGCAAACGGGUGCGUAACACAUGUCUAAUCUACCCUUAGGUUCGGUAUAACUAUAGAGAUAUAGCUAAUCCCGGAUAUGAUUCAAGAAAUGAAAAUACUUGAAUGAAAGAUUUAUCGCCUUUGGAGGAGGAUGUGGCCUAUCAGGUAGUUGGUGGAGUAAUAGCCCACCAAGCCUAUGACGGGUAGCCGGUCUUAGAGGAUGUCCGGCCACAAUGGAACUGAGACACGGUCCAUACUCCUACGGGAGGCAGCAGUGGGGAAUCUUGCACAAUGGGCGAAAGCCUGAUGCAGCGACUUCGCGUGAAGGACGAAGCCUUUUGGGGUGUAAACUUCUUUUCUGGGGGACGAAGAAUGACGGUACCUCAGGAAUAAGGGACGGCUAACUACGUGCCAGCAGCCGCGGUAAUACGUAGGUCCCGAGCAUUAUCCGGAUUUACUGGGUGUAAAGCGUCUGUAGCCGGUUUUAUAAGUCUGUUUUCAAAUACCUUGGCUCAACCAAGGAGAGGGAAUGGAUACUGUAUUACUGGAGUAUAUUGGGGGUUAAUGGAAUUUCUGGUGGAGCGGUGAAAUGCGUUGAUAUCAGAAGGAAUGCCAAAAGUGAAGACAGUUAACUACAAUAUUACUGACGGUGAGAGACGAAAGCUUGGGUAGCAAACGGGAUUAGAUACCCCGGUAGUCCAAGCUGUAAAUUAUGUUCGCUAGGUGUUUCUAUGUUUUCAUAGGAGUGCCGUAAUCUAACGAGUUAAGCGAACCACCUGGGUAGUAUAUUCGCAAGAAUGAAACUCAAAGGAAUAGGCGGGGGAACACACAAGCAGUGGACGAUCUCGAUUAAUUGGAUAACACGCCAAAAAUCUUACCUAGGCUUGACAUACAGUGUGUCAUCAGUGAAAGCUGGUUAUUCGUAGCAAUACGAAGCGCUGAACAGGUAGUGCAUGGUCGUCGUCAGCUCGUGCCGCAAGGUGUCUAGUUAAUUCUAGUAACGGGCGCAACCCUCAUCGUAUGUUAGAAUGUCAUACGAGACUGCUUCGGUAACGGAGAGGAAGGAGAGGAUGACGUCAGAUCCUCAUGCUCCUUAUGUCUAGGGCUUCAUAGAUCAUACAAUGGAUAGUAACAAUAGGAAGCAAUAUCGUAAGAUGGAGCCAAACCUAAAACCUAUCCUCAGUUCGGAUUGUAGUCUGGAACUCGACUACAUGAAGUUGGAAUUGCUAGUAAUGGCGAAUCAGCAAUGUCGCCGUGAAUAUGU
This 1319-nucleotide ribosomal RNA is filed under the name uncultured candidate division SR1 bacterium. Its description in RNAcentral is "bacterial SSU rRNA". It matches the Rfam family "Bacterial small subunit ribosomal RNA", at positions 28 to 1371 of the family's 1533-position model. Lineage: Bacteria; Candidatus Absconditibacteriota. The record is from RNAcentral.